This 24-nucleotide microRNA is filed under the name Pteropus alecto (black flying fox). RNAcentral's name for it is "pal-miR-664a-2-5p". Its record names the gene pal-miR-664a-2-5p. The record is from miRBase by way of RNAcentral. Lineage: Eukaryota; Metazoa; Chordata; Mammalia; Chiroptera; Pteropodidae.
CAGGCUAAGAAAAAUAAUUGGAUA